This 561-nucleotide long non-coding RNA is filed under the name Polistes fuscatus (common paper wasp). Its description in RNAcentral is "uncharacterized LOC122525535". Lineage: Eukaryota; Metazoa; Arthropoda; Insecta; Hymenoptera; Vespidae. The record is from RNAcentral.
GUGUGAUAGACCUCCUCCAAUUCAGGAUCAAACCUGACCGGUCUCAUUUGAUAAACGAUAUAAACCAACUGUCCAAUAUUUAACAACAAGAAAGUAAAGUUCCAGGAGAAGAUAUCUGGUGCACAAAUCACGUGCCAUGCCCAUCCGGACAGCAACAUGAAACCUAUGAAGCAGACAUACCGACGAUUAAAACUGAGUGCAUAAACAAUAUACCCUUCUUCGAGGACGGUGCUGAGUAAGAGAGUGCAAAGCAGAAAUUCGCUAACUGGAAUAAUAUGUGUUGUGGCUGUUGCCAUAGGCACAGUGCGGUAUUACCUGAUAAAGAAAAAGAAAUCGUGAGAUUUUCGCUCGAUGAAUAGACAAGAUAAUAGACGAAGAGAAAAGUGACAGAAUGAAGACAAUUGUAAUACAGAUAAAAAAAAUAGAUACUAAUUAAAUUAUACUUUUUAACUGACCUAUUGACGUGACGUUAUAGGAAGGCAAAGGGUCGUGACCCAGUCCAGGGCUCAUCUUUGUGCGAUCUUAAAAAUAUAUGGUAUAAUAUAUAUGGUAAGAAAGUAA